GAUAGUAUUAGGAGUUGGUGGUAUGUGUGUUGGUGUUUCUGGGGUUUGUUUUCCUUUUUCGGCACAGGUAGGCGGGGGGCGGUGUUUGACGGCAUGCCGGCACACCUGCGGCGCAUCGGACGUCAUCAGUGGGAGCAUUUAGGGAGCUGAGUGAUGGACGUCUGAUGUCGGAUUAUUGUCGUUCCCAUAAGUGCCUGUCUCGCCGCCUGCUCGCCUGCCUGUUUCUUUGUGCGCUGGCCCAUUUUUUGGAUCUGUGACAGAGACUUACCUGGCGCUGGCCUGCGAUCGUUGUUACUCCUGUAUUCUGGUGUUUCAAGUAGCUCUGGUUUGCGCAUCUAUCUGUCUGCGUACCUUGGCUCCGUUCCGUUCCCCCUCGGCUCUGUUUAUUUGCACAUUUAUUUGGUUAUUGUAUAUAGCCCUGUCCCCUUGUAAAUAUUUCCUGAUCACGGUUAAUAAAUCUGCUUCACCGCUGUUCUGCGCCUGUGUGUGUUUCUGCCACUGAAUCCAUCUGUUUAAAUGAACCUAACAGA
Oreochromis aureus is the source of this 530-nucleotide long non-coding RNA. Lineage: Eukaryota; Metazoa; Chordata; Actinopteri; Cichliformes; Cichlidae. The record is from Ensembl.